RNAcentral lists this ribosomal RNA (119 nucleotides) under Pteropus alecto (black flying fox). The record is from RNAcentral. Lineage: Eukaryota; Metazoa; Chordata; Mammalia; Chiroptera; Pteropodidae.
GUCUAUGGCCAUGCCAUCCUGAACAAGCCCGAUCCCGUCUGAUCUCGGAAACUAAACAGGGUCGGGCCUGGUUAGUACUUGGAUGGGAGACCACCUAGGAAGACCAGGUGCUGUAGGCA